AUUGAACGCUGGCGGCAUGCCUUACACAUGCAAGUCGAACGGUAACAGGCCGCAAGGUGCUGACGAGUGGCGAACGGGUGAGUAAUGCAUCGGAACGUGCCCAGUCGUGGGGGAUAACUGCUCGAAAGAGCAGCUAAUACCGCAUACGACCUGAGGGUGAAAGCGGGGGACUCGCAAGAGCCUCGCGCGAUUGGAGCGGCCGAUGUCAGAUUAGCUAGUUGGUGGGGUAAAGGCCUACCAAGGCAACGAUCUGUAGUUGGUCUGAGAGGACGACCAGCCACACUGGGACUGAGACACGGCCCAGACUCCUACGGGAGGCAGCAGUGGGGAAUUUUGGACAAUGGGCGCAAGCCUGAUCCAGCAAUGCCGCGUGCAGGAAGAAGGC
This 385-nucleotide ribosomal RNA is filed under the name uncultured bacterium. RNAcentral describes it as "bacterial SSU rRNA". It matches the Rfam family "Bacterial small subunit ribosomal RNA", at positions 29 to 415 of the family's 1533-position model. The record is from RNAcentral.